Molecule: ribosomal RNA, 465 nt
Filed under: uncultured bacterium
Lineage: Bacteria
Description: partial 16S ribosomal RNA
Rfam family: Bacterial small subunit ribosomal RNA
Source: RNAcentral
CCUACGGGAGGCAGCAGUGAGGAAUAUUGCACAAUGGGCGAAACCCUGAUCCAGCCACGCCGCGUGAAUGACGAAGGCCCUCGGGGCGUUAAGUUCUUUCGACAGGGGAGAAAAUGCCUAAAAGUAACCGUGUAUGUAUUGACGUUACCUGUAUAAGCAGCCCCGGCUCACUCCGUACCAGCAGCCGCGGUAAUACGGAGGGUGCGAGCGUUGUUUGGAGUGACUGGGCUUAAAGGGCAAGUGGGGGGUUUUGUAAGUCAGUAGUCAAAGACGAGGGCUCAACUGUAGAAAGGCUGGUGAUACUGUAAGCCUAGAGUAUAAGAGAGGAGUGCAGAAUUCGUGGUGUAGCGGUGAAAUGCGUAGAUAUCAGGAGGAAUACCGUUAGCGAAGGCGGCAAUCUGGCUGGAAACUGACGCUGAGGUGCGAAAGCGUGGGUAGCAAACAGGAUUAGAUACCCGGGUAGUC